GGGGAGGUGUGGUCAGGCACAGUAGGGAUGGGGGUGUGGUCAGGCACAGUAGGGAUAGGGGUGUGGUCAGGCACAGUAGGGAUGGGGGUGUGGUCAGGCACAGUAGGGAUGGGGGUGUGGUCAGGCACAGUAGGGUUGGGGGUGUGGUCAGACACAAGGGAUGGGGGUGUGGUCAGGCACAAGGGAUCAGGGGGGUGUGGUCAGGCACAGUAGGGAUGGGGGUGUGGUCAGGCACAGUAGGGAUGGGGGUGUGGUCAGGCACAGUAGGGUUGGGGGUGUGGUCAGGCACAGUAGGGAUGGGGGUGUGGUCAUUCACAGUUGGUGAUGGGGUGUGGUCAGGCACAGUAGGGUUGGGGGUGUGGUCAGGCACAGUAGGGAUGGGGGUGUGGUCAGGCACAGUAGGGAUGGGGGUGUGGUCAGGCACAGUAGGGUUGGGGGUGUGGUCAGGCACAAGGGAUGGGGUGUGGCCAGGCACAGUAGGGAUGGGGGUGUGGUCAGGCACAGUAGGGAUGGGGGUGUGGUCAGGCACAGUAGGGUUGGGGGUGUGGUCAGACACAAGGGAUGGGGGUGUGACCAGGCACAGUAGGGAUGGGGGUGUGGUCAGGUACUAGGGAUGGGGGUGUGGUCAGGCACAGUAGGGAUGGGGGUGUGGUCAGGCACUAGGGAUGGGGGUGUGGUCAGGCACUAGGGAUGGGGGUGUGGUCAGGCACAGUAGGGAUGGGGGUGUGGUCAGGCACAGUAGGGAUGGGGGUGUGGUCAGGUACUAGGGAUGGGGGUGUGGUCAGGCACAGUAGGGAUGGGGGUGUGGUCAGGCACAGUAGGGAUGGGGGGGUGGUCAGCUACUAGGGAUGGGGGUGUGGUCAGGCACAGUAGGGAUGGGGGUGUGGUCAGGCACAGUAGGGAUGGGGGUGUGGUCAGGCACUAGGGAUGGGGUUGUGGUCAGGCACAGUAGGGAUGGGGGGGGUGUGGUCAGGCACAGUAGGGAUGGGGGUGUGGUCAGGUACUAGGGAUGGGGGUGUGGUCAGGCACAGUAGGGAUGGAGGUGUGGUCAGGUACUAGGGAUGGGGGUGUGGUCAGGCACAGUAGGGAUGGGGGUGUGGUCAGGCACUAGGGAUGGGGGGGGGGGUGUGGUCAGGCACUAGGGAUGGGGGUGUGGUCAGGCACUAGGGAUGGGGGUGUGGUCAGGCACUAGGGAUGGGGGUGUAGUCAGGCACUAGGGAUGGGGGUGUGGUCAGGCACAGUAGGGAUGGGGGUGUGGUCAGGCACUAGGGAUGGGGGUGUGGUCAGGUACUAGGGAUGGGGGUGUGGUCAGGCACUAGGGAUGGGGGUGUGGUCAGGCACUAGGGAUGGGGGUGUGGUCAGGCACAGUAGGGAUGGGGGUGUGGUCAGGCACUAGGGAUGGGGGUGUGGUCAGGCACUAGGGAUGGGGGUGUGGUCAGGCACAGUAGGGAUGGGGGUGUUGUCAGGCACUAGGGAUGGGGGUGUGGUCAGGC
Molecule: long non-coding RNA, 1493 nt
Organism: Oncorhynchus tshawytscha (Chinook salmon)
Lineage: Eukaryota; Metazoa; Chordata; Actinopteri; Salmoniformes; Salmonidae
Source: Ensembl